AGUGAACGCUGGCGGUAGGCCUAACACAUGCAAGUCGAACGGCAGCACAGUAAGAGCUUGCUCUUACGGGUGGCGAGUGGCGGACGGGUGAGGAAUACAUCGGAAUCUACUUUUUCGUGGGGGAUAACGUAGGGAAACUUACGCUAAUACCGCAUACGACCUACGGGUGAAAGCAGGGGAUCUUCGGACCUUGCGCGAUUGAUUGAGCCGAUGUCGGAUUAGCUAGUUGGCGGGGUAAAGGCCCACCAAGGCGACGAUCCGUAGCUGGUCUGAGAGGAUGAUCAGCCACACUGGAACUGAGACACGGUCCAGACUCCUACGGGAGGCAGCAGUGGGGAAUAUUGGGCAAUGGGCGCAAGCCUGAUCCAGCCAUACCGCGUGGGUGAAGAAGGCCUUCGGGUUGUAAAGCCCUUUUGUUGGGAAAGAAAAGCAGCAGGUUAAUACCCCGCUGUUCUGACGGUACCCAAAGAAUAAGCACCGGCUAACUUCGUG
This 492-nucleotide ribosomal RNA is filed under the name uncultured bacterium. RNAcentral's name for it is "partial 16S ribosomal RNA". It matches the Rfam family "Bacterial small subunit ribosomal RNA", at positions 29 to 507 of the family's 1533-position model. The record is from RNAcentral.